RNAcentral lists this long non-coding RNA (1454 nucleotides) under Medicago truncatula (barrel medic). Its description in RNAcentral is "long non-coding RNA (MTRU_LNC002327)". Lineage: Eukaryota; Viridiplantae; Streptophyta; Magnoliopsida; Fabales; Fabaceae. The record is from RNAcentral.
AUCACUAACUCAAGUUAUUUAAUAAGGAUUCGCAUGAAAUUUCAUUUAAAAAUAAAAUAAUACUAUUUUGUUCUUACUUCCAGGUAUAGGUUAAAUACUUAAUUGGGCAAUCAAAAGAUUCUUUUCUACAAAGUUGAUCUAAAUUCUUCUCCUUGAGUCAGCAAAUUUAAAUUACUUUCCUUUCAUGUCUUUUUCACAUUGAGAGUCUAUAGCUUUUUGCAUUAUUUUCCUUUCAUAUUUAGACAAGUUAGCAUUGAAAAGUAACUUGUAAUGGGCAAAUAAAUUAUUGUGCCCGAUUCAGAGAAUUGAACCUAUGUCAACUUCUAUAUAAAUGCAUUUUGGUAUCACAUCAGAUUUGUCAUAAUCAUAGUGAGUUAUAGUAAUUUUAUAAAGUUAUAUUUUAUAGUUUUUGCAAAAUCACAAUAUCAUGAUUAUGACAAAGUUAUUAUGGUACCAAACUAAACAUAUACAUGUGAGUUUGUUUCUUGUUAUGAUACCUAAAUAUAAUCUUUGAAUUGGAUACUUUUAGAAAUGUCAUUUGAUUUGGUAGGAACAUAAAUAAUUGAAGGAAGUGUGACAUCUUCCGAAGAGAAAAGACUAGAAUAUGCAAAAAGUUCAAUGGUGAGAUGAUGGCUAGCUACCCAAAACCGGAAACCUAUAGUUGAGGGUGGGCGUAAUUAAUCAUACCAUUAGAUAUAUGUCAUUUUCUGCAUACCAAUAGCAAUAUAUCCCCCCUUUCUCAAAUUCAUCAUAUUUUCUAACGAGCACAUGUUCUUAGUUAGCCGAUCAAUCUUAAUCAAAUGACAUGUAUUUGACUUUGCCAACAGAUCCAACACAUGAAGUCUUAAUCAUAUCAACUUGAUUGGCAAUCCACUUUCUCUCUCUUUAUUACCUAUAAAAUCUAACUCAACUGUCGCAGUCGAUGUUGCUUAGUUUAACAUUUUCACUCGGGUUUAAAUUCAGAAUCUCACAAUUGUGCGUGUGAGAUUCAACGUAUUUGUCUCAGUAAGUAAGGUAAAAUCUCUGUUUUGUAGCUUCUUGGAAUCACGACAACUUUGUCUCGGUAAAUCUACCGACGCGCGUCUCUAACCACCUGAUCACAGCUCUCAUGUUCUUGUUUGUGUUGAUUUUAAUACCAAUAUUAAUUGCUGUAAUGUCGGUUGUAAAACUGAGAGGAAUCAGAAUCCAUAGAAUCACGAGGGGCAGGCCAAUGGCAAGGCUGUAUCCAAUGGAUUUUCACAUUUCAAUAUUUGUCCUCCAUUAUAUAGAUUCUCUAAUCCCCCUUAAUUUGUCUCUCUCAGAAAGUUUCCUCUGUCACGGACAUGGUUUGUGGUUUGUGCAACGCACAUAGAAAAGUUCCACAAUCCACACUAUAAUAAGUAUAUAAUCUUUCUGUAGAAACAAACAAAAUAUACUCUUUCUGUAGCAAGAAAGAGUAAUUUUCUUACCAUAUA